RNAcentral lists this ribosomal RNA (515 nucleotides) under uncultured bacterium. RNAcentral describes it as "partial 16S ribosomal RNA". It matches the Rfam family "Bacterial small subunit ribosomal RNA", at positions 28 to 523 of the family's 1533-position model. The record is from RNAcentral.
GAUGAACGCUGGCGGCGUGCCUAAUACAUGCAAGUCGAGCGAAUGGAUUAAGAGCUUGCUCUUAUGAAGUUAGCGGCGGACGGGUGAGUAACACGUGGGUAACCUGCCCAUAAGACUGGGAUAACUCCGGGAAACCGGGGCUAAUACCGGAUAACAUUUUGAACCGCAUGGUUCGAAAUUGAAAGGCGGCUUCGGCUGUCACUUAUGGAUGGACCCGCGUCGCAUUAGCUAGUUGGUGAGGUAACGGCUCACCAAGGCAACGAUGCGUAGCCGACCUGAGAGGGUGAUCGGCCACCCUGGAACUGAGACACGGCCCAGACUCCUACGUGAGGCAGCAGUAGGGAAUCUUCCGCAAUGGACGAAAGUCGGACGGAGCAACGCCGCGUGAGUGAUGAAGGCUUUCGGGUCGUAAAACUCUGUUGUUAGGGAAGAACAAGUGCUAGUUGAAUAAGCUGACACCUUGACGGUACCUAACCAGAAAGCCACGGCUAACUACGUGCCAGCCGCCGCAGUAA